UGGGGAAUCUUGGACAAUGGGCGCAAGCCUGAUCCAGCCAUGCCGCGUGAGUGAAGAAGGCCUUCGGGUUGUAAAGUUCUUUUGGCGGGGACGAUGAUGACUGUACCCGCAGAAUAAGCUCCGGCUAACUUCGUGCCAGCAGCCGCGGUAAUACGAAGGGAGCAAGCGUUAAUCGGAAUUAUUGGGCGUAAAGGGUGCGUAGGUUGUUUGAUAAGAUAUAUGUGAAAUACCUGGGCUCAACCUGGGAAGGUCAUAUAAGACUGUCAGACUCGAGUAUGGGAGAGGGUAGAGGAAUUUCCGGUGUAGCGGUGAAAUGCGUAGAUAUCGGAAGGAACAUCGGUGGCGAAGGCGUCUACCUGGCCUAAUACUGACACUGAGGCACGAAAGCGUGGGGAGCAAACAGGAUUAGAUACCCCAGUAGUCCCUGAGCGGGCUGGCAAGGCGCAU
This 447-nucleotide ribosomal RNA is filed under the name uncultured bacterium. Its description in RNAcentral is "bacterial SSU rRNA". It matches the Rfam family "Bacterial small subunit ribosomal RNA", at positions 355 to 825 of the family's 1533-position model. The record is from RNAcentral.